This is a non-coding RNA of Nicotiana tabacum (common tobacco), 476 nucleotides long. Lineage: Eukaryota; Viridiplantae; Streptophyta; Magnoliopsida; Solanales; Solanaceae. The record is from RefSeq and is a predicted model, not a curated record.
CAGAUCGGCUAUGAGCUUGUGGCUGCGAGUGUUGCGACUGCGAUAGAGACGGUGUCACAGCGACUUAACGACCUCGGCGCCGAUGACUCUCAAGUGUGACUGCUUGUUUCCUCAUUUUUAACCUUCAAUCUUCAACUCUUCAACAGGUUCAAGUUCAAUAAUGCCCCGUGCUCCUAAAGUUGAUUCGAGAGUCGAGACUAUUUAUGUUAUUUUGAUUUUUGAGAAUUUGUUAAACUUAUUUAAGCUUAAUGUGUUAGACACUUAGAUUUAUGUUAUGGGCCAGUGUUCUUAUCAUUUUAUGUUGAUGUUGAUGUUGUUGCUGCACUGCUUAUUAGUUAAACUUACAACUUUAUGUUUGGCAGAAUGGCAGUAACCAGUAGGUUUGCAAACUUUGCAUAAUGUUAUUGCUACUGUGAGCGUGACACUUUAGUUGUUAUUACUUAUUGGUGUAAACUUGAAUUGUCUCUAUUUUUGUU